This 3881-nucleotide long non-coding RNA is filed under the name Macaca mulatta (Rhesus monkey). RNAcentral's name for it is "lncRNA (ENSMMUG00000051349.1)". The record is from RNAcentral. Lineage: Eukaryota; Metazoa; Chordata; Mammalia; Primates; Cercopithecidae.
UCAGAGAAUGAGAAAGAAGAGGUCUCCGAGGAAAUUCUCCCCGGUUUCCAGUUCAUUUUCAGGAUUCUGCUCUGGGUCAACGAAACUCACAUCACUUAGAAACAAGCUGAUCUCUGCAUCCACAGCUCCCUCGUUUUGCAUCUACUAAACCCUUACCUGAGGUUUGAGAUGUUUCUUAAACAUUUCUCACAAUUUGCAAUGUUUAAAAUUCACUGUAGCAAGUAAGAGGAAAUGGUGCUUAUGGCCCCCAGGUGCUUAUGGUCCCCAGGCCACAUAAUUAGGAUGUAUGUUACUAAAAACUUGGUUUCAUCAAAAUUUAUUUUCUAAUAUAAUUAUUUUAAAAGUCUUGUUUAUUCCAGAGAACCUAGCUGGGUUAUUGGAGACACAAGGUCUCUCUUGUUGGAAGAAGAAACGUAUUGUUUUCACAAAUCCCAGUUCUGCCAGAGAUGUUUCUGAGGGUAAGCUACCAAGCAUUGAACUCCGUGUGGCCAGAACCUUUAAGUAUGUUUUUACUCGAACUCUUCUUUUUCAAGUCAAUCACUUUGCCAAAUUUUUAAUUUUCUUAAAUUGGCCCAGAACAAUUGAGGCAGGAAAAGAAGCCUUCAUAGAGACAGUAAAGUGGUUCUAAUAAAUUGAAAAGUAAGAGACUAAAACUUGUGUUUGACUGCCUUCCACCUAGUCGUUCAAAAAAUCAGAGUUACCAUGUUCUACCACCUGAGCCGCUGCCUCAUCAGUCUGAAACACCUACUAGGAAGAAGUAUUAAUGGAAUAAUUUCUAGUGAGACACUUCACAGCCACAGAGAUAAUUAAACGACAGCACUGAUGCCCUACCGCUUUGAGGGUUCACGUGUGUCCACCCUGUGUACAUGGAAGGUUUCCAGCCAGCCUCCCCUGAAGUCUGUCUUGAUUGCCUGCUAGCAAGUAGCUCACUGAGGAAAUAUUGGCCUGGUUUGCAAUCACAGGGAUUUAAAUGGAUUCUGGGAGCUUUCUGCAAGAGAACCGUUCUCCCGUGUUUGAAGAAAGUAGUAGGUGUACUCCAGAGAAACAGGUUUCGAUUACAUCGUACAUUGCUAUGCUAAACAAGCAAGCUUUAAAGGGACCCUGCAGAUGCCACAAAAAUGUUUCCCAAGUGCAAGAGUGUAAAAACAUAAGUGUCUUUUUUGUAAAUGUUGCCCUAAAAAAGCCUGCCAUAGGAAUGAAAACCUAAGGAACGAAAGCCAGAUUGGGAUCAGAUCCACAAGAUACAUAAUUAGUGAGCAUAUCACCUCCUUCGAUGGUUACUCAUCUGUUCUGACCACACCGACGUGGGCCAGAGUUUGCUUUCAGUCACACCCAUGAAAGUCUGGUCGAGUCUGAGUUUAAUGCAUAAUUUGACUUUGUGAAUAUUUGCAGCUUGCAUAGAAAAAAGAGCUAGUCCAGUGAGGCAGUUGAAGUCAGUGUCAUAAGGAAAUUUUUUCCCUUUUGCUGUGAGCAUCAUUUAAGAAAAAGGCAAAAGGAUAUCAGUGUCCUGGGCAGUUUUGAUGAAGUCUAAAAAGUGCACUCUUUAUCAGCACUUGAAUUCAAUAUGGUGGGGCACCAUUCAGUUACACUACAGACCAGCAUGUUUCUAUAUCGUGGUAACAUUAAGAUUCUAAGUUCCGGCCGGGCGCGGUGGCUCAAGCCUGUAAUCCCAGCACUUUGGGAGGCCGAGACGGGAGGAUCACGAGGUCAGGAGAUCGAGACCAUCCUGGCUAACACAAUGAAACCCCGUCUCUACUAAAAAUACAAAAAAAUUAGCCGGGCGAGGUGGCGGGCGCCUGUGGUCCCAGCUACUCGGGAGGCUGAGGCAGGAGAAUGGCGUAAACCCGGGAGGCGGAGCUUGCAGUGAGCCGAGAUAGCGCCACUGCACUCCAGCCUGGGCGACAGAGCGAGACUCCGUCUCAAAAAAAAAAAAAAAAAAAAAAAAGAAAAUAGAAAGGUACGUGAUGAAAUAAAUUUAUACUCUCUAUCCUUUCAGCUGUCAUAUGAGGCCGUGACCAGUUUUCUUGCCCCAAGUGGCAUGAAAAGGAGGGUACCCAGGAAGAGGAGAUGAAGGCCACGUUUUAAACAUAUUAAGAAAGAAGUGCUAGAGCCUCAGUUUUCACACAAAGGCAAAGGCUUUACUUUUUCAAUUGAUGCUCUGUAGUUUCUUUCUCUUUUUCUUUUUUUGAGACGGAGUCUCACUCUGUUGCCCAGCUGGAGUGCAGUGGCGGAUCUCACGGCAAGCUCCGCCUUCCGGGUUCACACCAUUCUUCUGCCUCAGCCUCCCGAGUAGCUGGGACCACAGGCGCCCGCCACCUCGCCCGGCUAACUUUUUGUAUUUUUAGCAGAGAUGGGGUUUCACUGUGUUAGCCAGGAUGGUCUCGAUCUCCUGACCCCGUGAUCCGCCUGCCUCCACCUCCCAAAGUGCUGGGAUUACAGGUGUGAGCCACUGCGCCCUGCCAAUAGCUCUGUAGUUUCUGUUUAGUUAUCCCUGAGUCAGAGUUGCAGAAAGACGUGGUGAGGUCACCUGCUCUCAGAUGGAUGACUUGGGAGCUGGCAGUGACUGCGUGGUACAAGUCUGUUCCGUGAGAAACACUGAAGGAAAAAAGGAAUAUGUGUCUCUGGAUGGUGAUUUUGUAAUGCAGAGGAGCGGCGAAGGAAGGCUUGAGCCUGAUGGGGGAGAAAUCACAUCACAGGAGCAAGAUGGGGAAAAAGGAAUUGGUCCAAGAUCUCACUCUCAGCUGCCAAAUGGCCAUGGCAACAGGACCUUUUGCUUAGUGUGACAGGAGCUGAACCAAGGUCCCUGGCACUCAGUGAGGGGUUGCCAUAGGGAGAAUUGGAGGGUUCUGGGCAUUUUAAGCACUGGGCUUGGAAAACACAGAGGAGAGCCAGCGCCCAUUGGCUGUGGGCCUGGAACCAAGGUAAGAAAAAUAAAAAGACAAAAUGAGCCUGGGCUGUGUGUGUCUGUGUUUGUCUUUGGGAUGUGCAAUUCUGUGGUAGAAUAAUAAUGAUCAUGAUGGGCACUCAGUAUGUCUGAGGAAACAAGAUUUUUUAAAGUGUACAGUUCAGAUUCUAAGAUUUUUACAUUUAUUAACUCAUUUAAUUCUUACAACCCUACAAGGGAGGUAGUAUUAUACUAUUCCUCAUUGGUUAAAUGAGGAAACUGAAGCAAAGAGAGUGUAAAUCAUGCACAACUAGUAAGUGGAGCCCAGGCUGUCUGACUCACUGAUUCCUGCCUCUUUUUGACGUUGCCAUAUGUGGCCAGCUGAGCACUGGAACCACAGAAAACCUAGUUCCUAAUCCCUGAAUCUGUGAAUAUUACUUUACAUGGCAGAAGGUAUUUUGCAGAUGUGAUCAAAUUAAAGGUAUUGAGAUGCGGAGAUUAUUCUGGAUUAUCCUGCAGUGUAAAUGCAUUUACAGAGGGAGGCAGAGGGAGAUUUGACUACCGAAGGGGAAGAGGGUGGUGGGAUGUGAGGAUGGAAUCAUGAACCAAGGAAUGCAGGUGGCUUCUAGAAGGCAGAAAAGCCAAGGAAACACAUCUUCCCUAGAGCCUCGAGGAGGAGCUAGGCUGGCCAACAUCCUGAUUUUAGCCCUGUCUGAUCCAUGUUGGACUCUGGCCUCCAGAACUGUAAGAUAAUAAAUUGAUGUUGUUUUAAGUCACUCAAUUUGUAGUAAUUUUUUUAUAGCAGCCAUGGGAAACUCAUACACUGUAAUUCUCAAAUCUUUUCACACAAACACAUGGAGACGAUGUUCCCAGGGUGAACUUACGUUCAUAGGCACACCCACAUGUUGACACCCUUGACUCCCACCCAAUUACAUAGUGUGUAGUGUUUGUGGAUAAGCGUGUGUGUGUGUGUGUGUGUAUUUGGUGAGGGCAAGGC